RNAcentral lists this non-coding RNA (82 nucleotides) under pig gut metagenome. RNAcentral's name for it is "Purine riboswitch". It matches the Rfam family "Purine riboswitch aptamer", at positions 18 to 97 of the family's 102-position model. Rfam says of the family: Riboswitches are metabolite binding domains within certain messenger RNAs that serve as precision sensors for their corresponding targets. Allosteric rearrangement of mRNA structure is mediated by ligand binding, and this results in modulation of gene expression. A class of riboswitches that selectively recognises guanine and becomes saturated at concentrations as low as 5 nM. The record is from RNAcentral.
UGAUUUCCAUAUAAUAAUAAGAAUAAGGCUUAAAGUAUCUACCUGAUACCGUAAAUAUCAGACUAUGGAAAAUUUGAAUAAA